ACGUAGGUGGCAAGCGUUGUCCGGAUUUACUGGGCGUAAAGGGAGCGUAGGCGGACUUUUAAGUGAGAUGUGAAAUACCCGGGCUCAACUUGGGUGCUGCAUUUCAAACUGGAAGUCUAGAGUGCAGGAGAGGAGAAUGGAAUUCCUAGUGUAGCGGUGAAAUGCGUAGAGAUUAGGAAGAACACCAGUGGCGAAGGCGAUUCUCUAGACUGUAACUGACGCUGAGGCUCGAAAGCGUGGGGAGCAAACAG
RNAcentral lists this ribosomal RNA (251 nucleotides) under uncultured bacterium. RNAcentral describes it as "partial 16S ribosomal RNA". It matches the Rfam family "Bacterial small subunit ribosomal RNA", at positions 525 to 775 of the family's 1533-position model. The record is from RNAcentral.